GUCUAUGGCCAUGCCACCCUGAACAAGCCCGAUGUCUGAUCUCAGAAGCUAAACAGGGUCGGACCUGGUUAGUACUUGGAUGAGAGACCACCUAGGAAGACCAGGUGCUGUAGGCA
RNAcentral lists this ribosomal RNA (116 nucleotides) under Pteropus alecto (black flying fox). Lineage: Eukaryota; Metazoa; Chordata; Mammalia; Chiroptera; Pteropodidae. The record is from RNAcentral.